RNAcentral lists this ribosomal RNA (468 nucleotides) under uncultured bacterium. Its description in RNAcentral is "partial 16S ribosomal RNA". It matches the Rfam family "Bacterial small subunit ribosomal RNA", at positions 28 to 507 of the family's 1533-position model. The record is from RNAcentral.
GACGAACGCUGGCGGCGUGCUUAACACAUGCAAGUCGAACGGAAAGGCCCUGCUUUUGUGGGGUGCUCGAGUGGCGAACGGGUGAGUAACACGUGAGUAACCUGCCCUUGACUUUGGGAUAACUUCAGGAAACUGGGGCUAAUACCGGAUAGGAGCUCCUGCUGCAUGGUGGGGGUUGGAAAGUUUCGGCGGUUGGGGAUGGACUCGCGGCUUAUCAGCUUGUUGGUGGGGUAGUGGCUUACCAAGGCUUUGACGGGUAGCCGGCCUGAGAGGGUGACCGGCCACAUUGGGACUGAGAUACGGCCCAGACUCCUACGGGAGGCAGCAGUGGGGAAUAUUGCACAAUGGGCGGAAGCCUGAUGCAGCAACGCCGCGUGCGGGAUGGCGGCCUUCGGGUUGUAAACCGCUUUCGCCUGUGACGAAGCGUGAGUGACGGUAAUGGGUAAAGAAGCACCGGCCAACUACGUG